Molecule: ribosomal RNA, 254 nt
Filed under: uncultured bacterium
Lineage: Bacteria
Description: partial 16S ribosomal RNA
Rfam family: Bacterial small subunit ribosomal RNA
Source: RNAcentral
CGCGGGGGGAGCAAGCGUUGUUCGGAAUCACUGGGCGUAAAGGGCGCGUAGGUGGUGGCUUAAGCGUGCGGUGAAAGCUCGGAGCUCAACUCCGAGUCGGCCGUGCGAACUGGGCUCACUGGAGCAUAGUAGAGGCAGGUGGAAUUCCGGGUGUAGCGGUGGAAUGCGUAGAGAUCCGGAAGAACACCGGUGGCGAAGGCGGCCUGCUGGGCUAUGGCUGACACUGAGGCGCGACAGCGUGGGGAGCAAACAGG